RNAcentral lists this transfer RNA (69 nucleotides) under Bacillus cereus. RNAcentral's name for it is "tRNA-Glu". It matches the Rfam family "tRNA". From Rfam's summary of the family: Transfer RNA (tRNA) molecules are approximately 80 nucleotides in length. Their secondary structure includes four short double-helical elements and three loops (D, anti-codon, and T loops). The record is from RNAcentral. Lineage: Bacteria; Bacillati; Bacillota; Bacilli; Caryophanales; Bacillaceae.
CCGUUGGUCAAGUGGUUAAGACACCGCCCUUUCACGGCGGUAACACGGGUUCGAAUCCCGUACGGGUCA